AAUGCCUAGGAAUCUGCCUGGUAGUGGGGGAUAACGUUCGGAAACGGACGCUAAUACCGCAUACGUCCUACGGGAGAAAGCAGGGGACCUUCGGGCCUUGCGCUAUCAGAUGAGCCUAGGUCGGAUUAGCUAGUUGGUGAGGUAAUGGCUCACCAAGGCGACGAUCCGUAACUGGUCUGAGAGGAUGAUCAGUCACACUGGAACUGAGACACGGUCCAGACUCCUACGGGAGGCAGCAGUGGGGAAUAUUGGACAAUGGGCGAAAGCCUGAUCCAGCCAUGCCGCGUGUGUGAAGAAGGUCUUCGGAUUGUAAAGCACUUUAAGUUGGGAGGAAGGGUUGUAGAUUAAUACUCUGCAAUUUUGACGUUACCGACAGAAUAAGCACCGGCUAACUCUGUGCCAGCAGCCGCGGUAAUACAGAGGGUGCAAGCGUUAAUCGGAAUUACUGGGCGUAAAGCGCGCGUAGGUGGUUUGUUAAGUUGGAUGUGAAAUCCCCGGGCUCAACUUGGGAACUGCAUUCAAAACUGACUGACUAGAGUAUGGUAGAGGGUGGUGGAAUUUCCUGUGUAGCGGUGAAAUGCGUAGAUAUAGGAAGG
This 596-nucleotide ribosomal RNA is filed under the name uncultured bacterium. Its description in RNAcentral is "bacterial SSU rRNA". It matches the Rfam family "Bacterial small subunit ribosomal RNA", at positions 112 to 704 of the family's 1533-position model. The record is from RNAcentral.